UGGGGAAUUUUGGACAAUGGGGGAAACCCUGAUCCAGCCAUCCCGCGUGUGCGAUGAAGGCCUUCGGGUUGUAAAGCACUUUUGGCAGGAAAGAAACGUCGCGGGUUAAUACCCCGCGGAACUGACGGUACCUGCAGAAUAAGCACCGGCUAACUACGUGCCAGCAGCCGCGGUAAUACGUAGGGUGCAAGCGUUAAUCGGAAUUACUGGGCGUAAAGCGUGCGCAGGCGGUUCGGAAAGAAAGAUGUGAAAUCCCAGAGCUUAACUUUGGAACUGCAUUUUAACUACCGGGCUAGAGUGUGUCAGAGGGAGGUGGAAGUUCCGCGUGUAGCAGUGAAAUGCGUAGAUAUGCGGAGGAACACCGAUGGCGAAGGCAGCCUCCUGGGAUAACACUGACGCUCAUGCACGAAAGCGUGGGGAGCAAACAGGAUUAGAUACCCUGGUAGUCCACGCCCUAAACGAUGUCAACUAGCUGUUGGGGUCUUCGGACCUUGGUAGCGCAGCUAACGCGUGAAGUUGACCGCCUGGGGAGUACGGUCGCAAGAUU
RNAcentral lists this ribosomal RNA (547 nucleotides) under uncultured bacterium. Its description in RNAcentral is "partial 16S ribosomal RNA". It matches the Rfam family "Bacterial small subunit ribosomal RNA", at positions 355 to 895 of the family's 1533-position model. The record is from RNAcentral.